GCUUAGUUUUAAAUAAGAUUGCUUUAACAAUAAUAUCCGCCAGGGAACUACAAGCGAAAAGCUUUAAACCCAAAGGACUUGGCGGUGCUCCAUAUCGACUUAGAGGAGCCUGUCCUAUAAUCGAUACUCCACGAUAAACCUCACCGCCCUUAGCCCAAUAGCCUAUAUACCGCCGUCGCAAACUUACUCCAUGAGGAUAAAACAGUAAGUAUAAAAGUUAAACAACUAACACGUCAGGUCAAGGUGUAGCUUAUAGGGCGGCCAGCGAUGGGCUACAUUUUUUAAGAUAAAACACACGGCAAGAAGCUAUGAAAUAAGCCACCAAAGGCGGAUUUAAUAGUAAGAUUAGCAAGAAAGCUAAUCUUAAACUCGCACUGGAGCGCG
This 384-nucleotide ribosomal RNA is filed under the name Leiocephalus semilineatus (Thomazeau curlytail lizard). RNAcentral describes it as "partial 12S ribosomal RNA". It matches the Rfam family "Bacterial small subunit ribosomal RNA", at positions 831 to 1383 of the family's 1533-position model. Lineage: Eukaryota; Metazoa; Chordata; Lepidosauria; Squamata; Leiocephalidae. The record is from RNAcentral.